GCCAGUUCAGUUAAGUAAAAAAAACAACAAUUUUUAACCUCUAUUAUAGUUUCCUCCAGUUAAAUUUUUAAGUAUUUGCUAAUUAUCCUAAUUAGAUACACACCUUCAUCACCAUACACUUGUAUUUAAUUUUGUCUCUGAUGCAGCCCACUUACUAUCGGCGACAGAUCGAUAUAAAAUCAAAAAUAGUCCCAAAACUAGCCAAAAACAAUCCAAUAGAACCAACACACCUCUAAAAAAAACAUUUAAAUACUUCAGGCUUUCCCAUCGUGCUGAACAUGGGCCGGCUGCUCGCCUCCUUUUUCAUAAUCCCCACGAUAAUGGGGGCAAUCAAUCUGGGCGACGCCGCACCUCAAUUAGGAACUUGUAAUUGGGAAUCGACGUGCCCUUUGUCAUGCCAGAUGAAAGGUUGCAAAUACGGAUCGUGCUUUGGAGAAAUCUGUAGAUGCUCGUAUUGUGAAAAUAAUACAUCCGAACAACUGUCAGCAUGAUGCAGAUGAUUAUCCAAAUUUUUUAAAAUAUUUUUCAUCCUAAAAUACCGUAAAAACUCAAAUAGGCUCAAAUAGUGACCUUGCUCAAAUAGUAGCCUUAUGCUCAACCAUGUUGUAUCCGGGUCGCAGCUUUCAAUUUUUUUUAAUAGUAGCUCCCGGCUACUAUUUGAGUUUUUACGGUAAAAUAAGUCCCUGUUCGUAACAAGGAAUAGCUAAAUUUAUACAUCUGUACUCUGGAAUCUGGAAAUUGAUAAUGAGUAAUUCUUAGAAUAUGUAACUUUCAUUUUAUUUAUUUUGAUAAAGUGCUCUUGCCCCUUA
Long non-coding RNA from Folsomia candida, 809 nucleotides. RefSeq lists it as uncharacterized. The record is from RefSeq and is a predicted model, not a curated record. The transcript is spliced from 2 exons. Lineage: Eukaryota; Metazoa; Arthropoda; Collembola; Entomobryomorpha; Isotomidae.